GUCCACGCUGUAAACUAUGAUUACUCGAUGUUUGCGAUACACAGUAAGCGUCUAAGCGAAAGCGAUAAGUAAUCCACCUGGGGAGUACGCUCGCAAGAGUGAAACUCAAAGGAAUUGACGGGGCCCGCACAAGCGGAGGAGUAUGUGGUUUAAUUUCGAUGAUACGCGAGGAACCUUACCCGGGCUUGAAAGUUAGUGACCGUUCCUGAAAGGGAAUUUCCCGCAAGGGCACAAAACUAGGUGCUGCAUGGCUGUCGU
This 258-nucleotide ribosomal RNA is filed under the name uncultured bacterium. Its description in RNAcentral is "partial 16S ribosomal RNA". It matches the Rfam family "Bacterial small subunit ribosomal RNA", at positions 793 to 1055 of the family's 1533-position model. The record is from RNAcentral.